UAUUUUCAGCGAUGGAUGUCUUGGCUCGCGCAACGAUGAAGACGCAGUGAAAUGCGAGACGCAAUGUGAAUUGCAGAAUUCAGGGAAUCAUCAGAUUUCUGAACGCAAAUGGCACCUU
Molecule: ribosomal RNA, 118 nt
Filed under: Sarcocystis bertrami
Lineage: Eukaryota; Apicomplexa; Conoidasida; Eucoccidiorida; Sarcocystidae
Description: partial 5.8S ribosomal RNA
Rfam family: 5.8S ribosomal RNA
About the family: 5.8S ribosomal RNA (5.8S rRNA) is a component of the large subunit of the eukaryotic ribosome. It is transcribed by RNA polymerase I as part of the 45S precursor that also contains 18S and 28S rRNA. Functionally, it is thought that 5.8S rRNA may be involved in ribosome translocation.
Source: RNAcentral